UGGGGAAUAUUGGACAAUGGGCGCAAGCCUGAUCCAGCCAUGCCGCGUGAGUGACGAAGGCCUUAGGGUUGUAAAGCUCUUUUGGCGGGGACGAUAAUGACGGUACCCGCAGAAUAAGCCCCGGCUAACUUCGUGCCAGCAGCCGCGGUAAUACGAAGGGGGCUAGCGUUGUUCGGAAUUACUGGGCGUAAAGCGCACGUAGGCGGAUUUGUCAGUCAGGGGUGAAAUCCCGAGGCUCAACCUCGGAACUGCCUCCGAUACAGCAAGUCUCGAGUCCGGAAGAGGUGAGUGGAAUUCCUAGUGUAGAGGUGAAAUUCGUAGAUAUUAGGAAGAACACCAGUGGCGAAGGCGGCUCACUGGUCCGGUACUGACGCUGAGGUGCGAAAGCUAGGGGAGCAAACGGGAUUAGAUACCCUUGUAGUCCCUGAGCGGGCUGGCAAGGCGCAU
RNAcentral lists this ribosomal RNA (447 nucleotides) under uncultured bacterium. RNAcentral's name for it is "bacterial SSU rRNA". It matches the Rfam family "Bacterial small subunit ribosomal RNA", at positions 355 to 825 of the family's 1533-position model. The record is from RNAcentral.